This 87-nucleotide transfer RNA is filed under the name Cephalotrichum gorgonifer. Its description in RNAcentral is "transfer RNA-Phe(GAA)". It matches the Rfam family "tRNA". From Rfam's summary of the family: Transfer RNA (tRNA) molecules are approximately 80 nucleotides in length. Their secondary structure includes four short double-helical elements and three loops (D, anti-codon, and T loops). Further hydrogen bonds mediate the characteristic L-shaped molecular structure. tRNAs have two regions of fundamental functional importance: the anti-codon, which is responsible for specific mRNA codon recognition, and the 3' end, to which the tRNAs corresponding amino acid is attached (by aminoacyl-tRNA synthetases). tRNAs cope with the degeneracy of the genetic code in two manners: having more than one tRNA (with a specific anti-codon) for a particular amino acid; and 'wobble' base-pairing, i.e. permitting non-standard base-pairing at the 3rd anti-codon position. The record is from RNAcentral. Lineage: Eukaryota; Fungi; Ascomycota; Sordariomycetes; Microascales; Microascaceae.
GCGAUGAUAGCUCAGCUGGGAGAGCGCCAGACUGAAGAAGUUACUUCGGGCUCCUGGAGGUCCCCGGUUCAAGCCCGGGUCGUCGCA